RNAcentral lists this ribosomal RNA (220 nucleotides) under uncultured prokaryote. RNAcentral describes it as "partial 16S ribosomal RNA". It matches the Rfam family "Bacterial small subunit ribosomal RNA", at positions 524 to 743 of the family's 1533-position model. The record is from RNAcentral.
GACGAACCGUGCAAACGUUGUUCGGAUUCACUGGGCUUAAAGGGCGCGUAGGCGGUGCGGUAAGUCACCUGUGAAAUCUCCGGGCUUAACUCGGAGCCUGCAGGCGAAACUACCGUGCUGGAGUAUGGGAGAGGUGCGUGGAAUUCCUGGUGUAGCGGUGAAAUGCGUAGAUAUCAGGAGGAACACCUGUGGUGUAGACAGCUUGCUGGACCAUUUCUGA